RNAcentral lists this ribosomal RNA (972 nucleotides) under human metagenome. RNAcentral's name for it is "bacterial LSU rRNA". It matches the Rfam family "Bacterial large subunit ribosomal RNA", at positions 1951 to 2925 of the family's 2925-position model. The record is from RNAcentral.
CUAAGGUAGCGAAAUUCCUUGUCGGGUAAGUUCCGACCCGCACGAAAGGCGUAACGAUUUGGGCACUGUCUCAACGAGAGACUCGGUGAAAUCAUAGUACCUGUGAAGAUGCAGGUUACCCGCGACAGGACGGAAAGACCCCGUGGAGCUUUACUGUAGCCUGAUAUUGAAAUUCGGCACAGCUUGUACAGGAUAGGUAGGAGCCUUUGAAACGUGAGCGCUAGCUUACGUGGAGGCGUUGGUGGGAUACUACCCUAGCUGUGUUGGCUUUCUAACCCGCACCACUUAUCGUGGUGGGAGACAGUGUCAGGCGGGCAGUUUGACUGGGGCGGUCGCCUCCUAAAAGGUAACGGAGGCGCUCAAAGGUUCCCUCAGAAUGGUUGGAAAUCAUUCAUAGAGUGUAAAGGCAUAAGGGAGCUUGACUGCGAGACCUACAAGUCGAGCAGGGUCGAAAGACGGACUUAGUGAUCCGGUGGUUCCGCAUGGAAGGGCCAUCGCUCAACGGAUAAAAGCUACCCUGGGGAUAACAGGCUUAUCUCCCCCAAGAGUUCACAUCGACGGGGAGGUUUGGCACCUCGAUGUCGGCUCAUCGCAUCCUGGGGCUGGAGUUGGUCCCAAGGGUUGGGCUGUUCGCCCAUUAAAGCGGUACGCGAGCUGGGUUCAGAACGUCGUGAGACAGUUCGGUCCCUAUCCGUCGUGGGCGUAGGAAAUUUGAGAGGAGCUGUCCUUAGUACGAGAGGACCGGGAUGGACAUACCUCUGGUGUACCAGUUGUCGUGCCAACGGCAUAGCUGGGUAGCUAUGUAUGGACGGGAUAAGUGCUGAAAGCAUCUAAGCAUGAAGCCCCCCUCAAGAUGAGAUUUCCCAACUUCGGUUAUAAGAUCCCUCGAAGAUGACGAGGUUAAUAGGUUCGAGGUGGAAGCGUGGUGACACGUGGAGCUGACGAAUACUAAUCGAUCGAAGACUUAAUCAA